Molecule: ribosomal RNA, 440 nt
Filed under: uncultured bacterium
Lineage: Bacteria
Description: partial 16S ribosomal RNA
Rfam family: Bacterial small subunit ribosomal RNA
Source: RNAcentral
CCUACGGGUGGCAGCAGUGGGGAAUAUUGCACAAUGGCCGAAACCCUGAUGCAGCGACGCCGCGUGAAGGAAGAAGUAUUUCGGUAUGUAAAAUUCUAUUAGCAGGGAAGAAAAUGACGGUACCUGACUAAGAAUCCCCGGCUAAUUACGUGCCAGCAGCCGCGGUAAUACGUAGGGGGCAAGCGUUAUACGGAUUUAUUGGGUGUAAAGGGGGCGUAGGCGGCUAUGAAAGUCAGAAGUGAAAGCCCUGGGCUCAACUCCGGGAGUGCUUUUGAAACUGGGUUGCUUGAUUGCAGGAGAGGUAAGUGGAAUUCCUAGUGUAGCGGUGAAAUGCGUAGAUAUUAGGAGGAACACCAGUGGCGAAGGCGGCUUACUGGACUGUAAAUGACGCUGAGGCUCGAAAGCGUGGGGAGCAAACAGGAUUAGAUACCCUAGUAGUC